CUCCCCUUCAUAUGGUGCAGCAUGCUACAGAGAUGGAGGGCACCCAUAAAUACGUCUUAGAGAAAAAAACCAAAUUGCCAGGUCAUCGUUCUGUACACAGUAAGGGACAUACUACUUCUCCUAAAUCCAAACAUCAAAAACAGCUCAAGGAUGACAGAGGGGCCCCCAAACCCUCAAAGUCAGUUCCACAGAAUGGAUCCAGACCGCAGAUACCUUUACAUAGAGGACAUUCUCCAAGCAAAGGAAGGGUCAAAACUCAACCCCGACAUAAAGAGACUCAUUCAAAGCCACAUCAACCCAAGUAUUCCAAGGAGUUCCAAAAAUCUUUCGGCUCUCAGAAAUCUCUAAUUAAGCAAAUGUCAACUAUAGAAACCCCCUAAAAAGUCUUCUCCAGGCCUUCCCAAAUUGAUAUUCCCCAAUCUCCACUAAUCUACCUACCACCUCUACCUUUUGUUUGUUGUUACUGUGAUCUGAUUGUCUUAAGCCAUACCCCAUCGUCGCUCUGGUGAAUUCAAACUACGGCCCUCAAGACUGGACUCGGAGCUUGCAAUCAAUCCACGGUCUUUCCUCCCCAAUAACCGGAAGAAAAAAGGAAGGAAGGAAGAAAGGAAGGCAUCAGAGAAGGAUGUUAAUGAAGGCAUCCAGGAGAACGCAAUCCUUCGAUAUAGUAGUUACACCAAGAGGAAGAACAUUUUCCACCACAGCUCUGACUUGUCAUUUCAAAUUCAGUUUUAGAAGUUCACUGGACAUUAGAUGGAUGUUAGACUGUCCUGAAAGGCCUGAUUUCUUUGCUAUUUUUUUCCUUACUCUAUUACAUCCAAUAAACCUUAGGCUGUUCCAAAGUACAA
Molecule: long non-coding RNA, 848 nt
Organism: Antechinus flavipes (yellow-footed antechinus)
Lineage: Eukaryota; Metazoa; Chordata; Mammalia; Dasyuromorphia; Dasyuridae
Exons: 2
Source: RefSeq, a predicted model, not a curated record